RNAcentral lists this ribosomal RNA (497 nucleotides) under uncultured bacterium. Its description in RNAcentral is "bacterial SSU rRNA". It matches the Rfam family "Bacterial small subunit ribosomal RNA", at positions 30 to 504 of the family's 1533-position model. The record is from RNAcentral.
UGAACGCUGGCGGCAUGCCUAACACAUGCAAGUCGAACGGAAACGACGAAAACAAUCCCUUCGGGGUGCGUCUUCGGGCGUCGAGUGGCGGACGGGUGCGUAACGCGUAGGAAUCUACCUUAUAGUGGGGGACAACUCGAGGAAACUCGAGCUAAUACCGCAUAAUCCUUACGAGGGAAAGCAGGGGAUCUUCGGACCUUGUGCUAUUAGAUGAGCCUGCGUCGGAUUAGCUUGUUGGUAGGGUAAUGGCCUACCAAGGCAACGAUCCGUAGCUGGUCUGAGAGGACGACCAGCCACACUGGGACUGAGACACGGCCCAGACUCCUACGGGAGGCAGCAGUGGGGAAUAUUGGACAAUGGGCGCAAGCCUGAUCCAGCAAUGCCGCGUGUGUGAAGAAGGCCUUAGGGUUGUAAAGCACUUUCAGUAGGGAAGAAAUGCGUGUAGCUAAUAACUGCGCGUCUUGACGGUACCUACAGAAGAAGCACCGGCUAACUCC